UACGUAGGGCGCAAGCGUUGUCCGGAGUUAUUGGGCGUAAAGAGCUCGUAGGCGGCUUGUCACGUCGGAUGUGAAAGCCCGAGGCUUAACCUCGGGUCUGCAUUCGAUACGGGCUAGCUAGAGUGUGGUAGGGGAGAUCGGAAUUCCUGGUGUAGCGGUGAAAUGCGCAGAUAUCAGGAGGAACACCGGUGGCGAAGGCGGAUCUCUGGGCCAUUACUGACGCUGAGGAGCGAAAGCGUGGGGAGCGAACAGG
Molecule: ribosomal RNA, 253 nt
Filed under: uncultured bacterium
Lineage: Bacteria
Description: partial 16S ribosomal RNA
Rfam family: Bacterial small subunit ribosomal RNA
Source: RNAcentral